ACACGACUACAUUAGAUACCCGUGUAGUCCUAGCCGUAAACGAUACUCGCUAGGUGUCGGCCACGGUGCGACCGUUGUCGGUGCCCGUAGGGAAGCCAUGAAGCGAGCCACCUGGGAAGUACGGCCGCAAGGCUGAACUUAAGGAAUUGGCGGGGGAGCACAACAACGGGUGGAGCUUGCGGUUUAAUUGGAUUCAACGCCGGAAAUCUUACCGGGACCGACAGCAACAUGAAGGCCAAGCUGAAGACUUUGCCGGAUUAGCUG
RNAcentral lists this ribosomal RNA (264 nucleotides) under uncultured archaeon. RNAcentral's name for it is "partial 16S ribosomal RNA". It matches the Rfam family "Archaeal small subunit ribosomal RNA", at positions 719 to 982 of the family's 1478-position model. The record is from RNAcentral.